RNAcentral lists this ribosomal RNA (614 nucleotides) under Trichoderma harzianum. RNAcentral describes it as "eukaryotic LSU rRNA". The stretch from base 228 to 381 matches the Rfam family "5.8S ribosomal RNA". The record is from RNAcentral. Lineage: Eukaryota; Fungi; Ascomycota; Sordariomycetes; Hypocreales; Hypocreaceae.
UUGGUGACCAGCGGAGGGAUCAUUACCGAGUUUACAACUCCCAAACCCAAUGUGAACGUUACCAAACUGUUGCCUCGGCGGGAUCUCUGCCCCGGGUGCGUCGCAGCCCCGGACCAAGGCGCCCGCCGGAGGACCAACCAAAACUCUUAUUGUAUACCCCCUCGCGGGUUUUUUUUAUAAUCUGAGCCUUCUCGGCGCCUCUCGUAGGCGUUUCGAAAAUGAAUCAAAACUUUCAACAACGGAUCUCUUGGUUCUGGCAUCGAUGAAGAACGCAGCGAAAUGCGAUAAGUAAUGUGAAUUGCAGAAUUCAGUGAAUCAUCGAAUCUUUGAACGCACAUUGCGCCCGCCAGUAUUCUGGCGGGCAUGCCUGUCCGAGCGUCAUUUCAACCCUCGAACCCCUCCGGGGGGUCGGCGUUGGGGAUCGGCCCUGCCUUGGCGGUGGCCGUCUCCGAAAUACAGUGGCGGUCUCGCCGCAGCCUCUCCUGCGCAGUAGUUUGCACACUCGCAUCGGGAGCGCGGCGCGUCCACAGCCGUUAAACACCCAACUUCUGAAAUGUUGACCUCGGAUCAGGUAGGAAUACCCGCUGAACUUAAGCAUAUCAAUAAGGCGGAGG